This 1027-nucleotide long non-coding RNA is filed under the name Oryza brachyantha (malo sina). RNAcentral's name for it is "long non-coding RNA (OBRA_LNC001905)". Lineage: Eukaryota; Viridiplantae; Streptophyta; Magnoliopsida; Poales; Poaceae. The record is from RNAcentral.
UGAUUGUUCAGAUUCAGAAGAUGAUUGCGUGGCCAAUUGGCAAAGUAUCAUGAUUCAAUUUCUAGCACGAAUGCAUAUUUCUCGUUGUCGAUUUCUGCUGCAGAUGUCGAUGGUAAAAAAGAGAGAAAAGAACCAUGCCAAUUUCUUGCUUUUUCGAGCUGAAGGAUAAUGAUCAGAUGAGUGCAGGUUUCGCUUGGGCAAAACAGGCAAAGAACAUCAUCGUCGGCGAAGAAGAACAGCGGCGGCGAACUGUACCUGUUUUGCACGAGGUUUUGGGUCGAUCCGACGAGCAUUCAAUUGGCUUUCCUUCUCUGCAACAAACUGCAAUCAAACCGUCACGAUCCACAGCCACAUGAUCAUCAUCAAUUCAUCACGCAGCAUGAACUCCUUUCAUUUACUGACCGAUCCAUGCCAGGACAGCAGGUUGGUUUGGUGUCUAUCCAAAUCUUGAAUCUUUUUGGGACCUGGCUGGCUCCUGUUCAUCCAACCAGUGACAAAACUCUGAUAAAAUCACCAUCGAUUCAAGAUCCAUUCAUUUCGCCCUGUAUAUAUGAUGGCAAUGGUUUCCCUUUCUCUCUAUUGUUUCUGCGUUCUCCUCAUGUGAAAAUAAUACUUUGCUCUAUUUAAACUCGAAUAUGAUGCAAUUUAGCAUUGGUUCUCGAACGAAUUUAACUUAUGCCUAGCAAGCAAAACACAGAUUAAUUACUCACCACUUGUUCAGUGUAAGACUCAACCAUUACAUCGACUUUUUUUUAAAGUCUGAAUCGACUAGUAUAUAGUUACAUAACAACGAGGAGUUACCACCAAGACAAGAAGCUAAUUAACCUCAAGAACAAACUUAAUUAGUAGAGUAUGUGUUGAUGCAGAUAGCAAGCAAACCGGCCAUGGAGGCGAGGCGAUGGAUGCGGUGGCUAGUUGCCGGCGGGGCCGACGUGGUUGACGAGGGCGAGGGCGUUGCUGGUGACCUGCGCGACCUCGACGAUCUUGCCGCGGAUGGCGGAGCGGGUGGCGGCGUCCACUCCGCNNN